Molecule: non-coding RNA, 81 nt
Organism: Lentinus tigrinus ALCF2SS1-7
Lineage: Eukaryota; Fungi; Basidiomycota; Agaricomycetes; Polyporales; Polyporaceae
Source: the annotation of a GenBank genome assembly
GGUUCAGUGGUGUAGUUGGUUAUCACGUCUGUCUCACAGGAAGCGCACAGGAGGUCUCCGGUUCGAGCCCGGACUGAACCA